RNAcentral lists this non-coding RNA (25 nucleotides) under Mus musculus (house mouse). The record is from RNAcentral. Lineage: Eukaryota; Metazoa; Chordata; Mammalia; Rodentia; Muridae.
UACCAGCUCACAACCACCUGUACUC